This 253-nucleotide ribosomal RNA is filed under the name uncultured bacterium. Its description in RNAcentral is "partial 16S ribosomal RNA". It matches the Rfam family "Bacterial small subunit ribosomal RNA", at positions 524 to 776 of the family's 1533-position model. The record is from RNAcentral.
UACAGAGGGUGCGAGCGUUAAUCGGAAUUACUGGGCGUAAAGCGCGCGUAGGCGGCUUUGCAAGUCGGGUGUGAAAUCCCCAGGCUUAACCUGGGAACUGCAUUCGAGACUGCAUUGCUAGAGUAUGGGAGAGGGAAGUGGAAUUUCCGGUGUAGCGGUGAAAUGCGUAGAUAUCGGAAGGAACAUCAGUGGCGAAAGCGACUUCCUGGACCAAUACUGACGCUCAUGUACGAAAGCGUGGGGAGCAAACAGG